RNAcentral lists this small nucleolar RNA (120 nucleotides) under Echinops telfairi (small Madagascar hedgehog). RNAcentral's name for it is "Small nucleolar RNA SNORA61 (ENSETEG00000022724.1)". It matches the Rfam family "Small nucleolar RNA SNORA61". Rfam says of the family: ACA61 is a member of the H/ACA class of snoRNA that guide the sites of modification of uridines to pseudouridines. Lineage: Eukaryota; Metazoa; Chordata; Mammalia; Afrosoricida; Tenrecidae. The record is from RNAcentral.
ACCUUCCAGUUCCCUCCCCUAUGGGAUCAAACCACCGGACUGGGUGGUUGUAAAAGGAGGAAAAGAAACAUUGAAGCUGCCCCUCAGUGCUCUUGGAGCGCUGGCUAGUUUCAAACAGGG